AUGCUCCCUUUGGCAGCACAUAUACUAAAAUUGGAACGAGACAGAGAAGAUUAGCAUGGCCCCUGUGCAAGGAUGACACGCAAAUUCAUGAAGCAUUCCAUAUUUUU
RNAcentral lists this small nuclear RNA (107 nucleotides) under Cebus imitator (Panamanian white-faced capuchin). Lineage: Eukaryota; Metazoa; Chordata; Mammalia; Primates; Cebidae. The record is from RNAcentral.